Molecule: long non-coding RNA, 517 nt
Organism: Manis pentadactyla (Chinese pangolin)
Lineage: Eukaryota; Metazoa; Chordata; Mammalia; Pholidota; Manidae
Exons: 2
Source: RefSeq, a predicted model, not a curated record
CUGCCCAUCCCGAAAAUGGCUGUGACGCGCCUGGGGCCCCAGCGCGCUGGAACAAGCCCGGGAAGCUGCCGGCGGGCCCUCCGGCAGCCGGGGAGUCCUUCUCCUCGGGGAGCCCGGGGGGCUGUCCUCAGGGCUGGGGCCUGACCUGGGAACCGCAGCGCUGAGAACCACGGUCCUCCGACACUAGGAUUCUCCGACUUUCUUCCCCCUGCCAGCUCAUCCCACUGACCACAAGAUGGUGCCCUCUUCCUGGGAAAUCUUUUUGCUGUUCCCGGCACAGGCUGAACAAUCCAUUUUCUCUGUAAUCCUGAAAGAAUGGACUGGAAUUUAACAAUCUUCAUAGCAUCUCAUUAAGCCAGAAUUCUGUACCCUUGAUGUCUAACCGUUUAAUGUGUAUCUUCCUCUUCUGCUAGAAACCGCAUUGUUUACUGUCUUACUAUAAUGCAAGGCAAAGCAACAAUGCAUAGUUACCUUAUGAUCAUAAUCAUUAGUAUCAAUAAAAAUACUUAGUCCCUUA